AGGUGAAAUUUGGUUUCUGAGUGUGCUUAAUUAGAAUUAUAAGAGUUUUGUAUCUAUGGAAACUUAAGUAUAAACCAGGAUUAGAUACCCUGUUAUUUUUAGUUUUAAAUUGAUAGUUUAAAUAGUAAGCAGUUAUGAUCUUGAAACUUAAAGAAUUUGGCGGUAUUUUAGUCUAGUUAGAGGAACCUGUUCUAUAAACGAUAUUCCACGAAUAAUCUUACUUCUUUUAGCGAUAAAGCAGUUUGUAUACCUCCAUUUAUCAGAUAAUUUUAAAAGAAAUAUAUCAAAAUAAUUGAAUCUUGGAUUUAAAAAUUUAGGUCAAGGUGCAGCUUAUAGGGGAGAGAGAAAUGGGUUACAUUAAAAUGAGUUUAAGGCGGAUAAGAAGAUUUAAUUUUUCUUUAAAGAUGGAUUUAAUAGUAAUUUUAUUUUAAUAUGGUAAUUUGAUAUUAGCUCUAAAAUAUGUA
Molecule: ribosomal RNA, 464 nt
Filed under: Plesionika grahami
Lineage: Eukaryota; Metazoa; Arthropoda; Malacostraca; Decapoda; Pandalidae
Description: 12S ribosomal RNA
Source: RNAcentral